AUAACGUUGGCUAUCUACCCGAGAAAAGAGGCAAGAAGCUCAACUCAGACGAUCACUGGUGAAUCAUUGAAGCCACAGAUAACUACGAAGGUCAUUGUGACCACUGGUGGACAACCAGAGCCUUCCACCCAUCGAGCCCUUCCCAUGGAUGGAUUGGUUGGUUGCAACAGAGAGACGACAAACAAAGACAUCUACACUGUGUUUCCGGUGUCCUGGAACGCAUCCUGUCUGGUUGCCGGGCGAAUUAGCUUGUUGGGAGAUCAAUGUUCACCCGCACCUGUAUCCCAUCAGUAAUCUGCACACCUGUCCUGAUCAUCACCUCUCCCCUUCAAAAGCUCUGACCUGACAUCCAUUCCCUGCCGGAUCGUUAGCCAUGAACAUUACUCACCCGGAUCAUUUACCC
This is a long non-coding RNA of Oncorhynchus tshawytscha (Chinook salmon), 403 nucleotides long. NCBI's taxonomy places the organism in Eukaryota, Metazoa, Chordata, Actinopteri, Salmoniformes, Salmonidae. The record is from Ensembl.